RNAcentral lists this ribosomal RNA (490 nucleotides) under uncultured bacterium. RNAcentral's name for it is "partial 16S ribosomal RNA". It matches the Rfam family "Bacterial small subunit ribosomal RNA", at positions 30 to 507 of the family's 1533-position model. The record is from RNAcentral.
AUUGAACGCUGGCGGCAGGCCUAACACAUGCAAGUCGAACGGUAACAGGAAGAAGCUUGCUUCUUUGCUGACGAGUGGCGGACGGGUGAGUAAUGUCUGGGAAACUGCCUGAUGGAGGGGGAUAACUACUGGAAACGGUAGCUAAUACCGCAUAAUGUCGCAAGACCAAAGAGGGGGACCUUCGGGCCUCUUGCCAUCGGAUGUGCCCAGAUGGGAUUAGCUAGUAGGUGGGGUAACGGCUCACCUAGGCGACGAUCCCUAGCUGGUCUGAGAGGAUGACCAGCCACACUGGAACUGAGACACGGUCCAUACUCCUACGGGAGGCAGCAGUGGGGAAUAUUGCACAAUGGGCGCAAGCCCGAUGCAGCUAUGCCGCGUGUAUGAAGAAGGCCUUCGGGUUGUAAAGUACUUUCAGCGGGGAGGAAGGGAGUAAAGUUAAUACCUUUGCUCAUUGACGUUACCCGCAGAAGAAGCGCCGGCUAACUCCGUG